Numida meleagris (helmeted guineafowl) is the source of this 633-nucleotide long non-coding RNA. RefSeq lists it as uncharacterized. The record is from RefSeq and is a predicted model, not a curated record. The transcript has 2 exons. Lineage: Eukaryota; Metazoa; Chordata; Aves; Galliformes; Numididae.
CAAACCUUUGUGAAGCACAGUCAGUUCUUUAAUGGCGCGGAGCAGCAAUUACCAACGCCAGCUAUUAAAGAAGGGGAACCAAUUAGUCAUCUUGGGAUUCCUCCACACGUUUGCCACUUGAGGGAUUUCCAGCAGCACAUCCCCUUGGGAUGGAGCACACCCCCGAGAGCCCCUGCGCCCCGUGGGGAGGGAUGGGGAUGCUCCCUGGAUGCGGUCUCCAUAGAGACGGUCACUGCAGCAACACAGAGCAGCAAGGAUGGAGGGCCGGGGAGGAUGCAAAGGAGGACCUUCCCCCUAGGCAGGAACUAGGAGAAUGAGUCCAGACUGAGGGCGGCUUCUCCUGCCCUCCUCAAGCUGCAACAUGCGAGAGACCCAUUGGGGCAGCGUCCCUCAUCCCUUCCUCCUCCCAUCUGCCACAGCUCUCUGCACGCAGAGCAGCGGAGCACAGCGAGAUCUCUCUGGUGGACGACCUCCUGGCCUCCAGGGAGUGGGAACUCUGUCCUGCGAGCCCGCGAUCCCCCGACACGCCUCCGCUGAGCGGCCUCUGACGUCAGCUCAUGUCUACAAACAUUGGUUUUGAGCCACAGCCAAAAGUUGAAACGCAGGGAAAAAAAUAAUGGUGAUGAAAGCAAA